UAAUACGGAGGGUGCAAGCGUUAAUCGGAAUUACUGGGCGUAAAGCGCACGCAGGCGGUUUGUUAAGUCAGAUGUGAAAUCCCCGGGCUCAACCUGGGAACUGCAUUUGAAACUGGCAAGCUAGAGUCUCGUAGAGGGGGGUAGAAUUCCAGGUGUAGCGGUGAAAUGCGUAGAGAUCUGGAGGAAUACCGGUGGCGAAGGCGGCCCCCUGGACGAAGACUGACGCUCAGGUGCGAAAGCGUGGGGAGCAAACAGGAUUAGAUACCCUGGUAGUCCACGCUGUAAACGAUGUCGAUUUGGAGGUUGUGCCCUUGACGGCGUGGCUUCCGGAGCUAACGCGUUAAAUCGACCGCCUGGGGAGUACGGCCGCAAGGUUA
This 377-nucleotide ribosomal RNA is filed under the name uncultured Serratia sp. RNAcentral describes it as "bacterial SSU rRNA". It matches the Rfam family "Bacterial small subunit ribosomal RNA", at positions 521 to 896 of the family's 1533-position model. Lineage: Bacteria; Pseudomonadati; Pseudomonadota; Gammaproteobacteria; Enterobacterales; Yersiniaceae. The record is from RNAcentral.